AGGCAAAAAGCAAGUUAUGCAGUUUGAUUUCGGCUCAAAAAGAGGGAACACUCCCUUUGCCUU
Molecule: transfer RNA, 63 nt
Filed under: Urechis caupo
Lineage: Eukaryota; Metazoa; Annelida; Polychaeta; Xenopneusta; Urechidae
Description: tRNA-Arg
Source: RNAcentral